GACGAACGCUGGCGGCGUGCUUAACACAUGCAAGUCGAACGGAAAGGCCCUGCUUUUGUGGGGUGCUCGAGUGGCGAACGGGUGAGUAACACGUGAGUAACCUGCCCUUGACUUUGGGAUAACUUCAGGAAACUGGGGCUAAUACCGGAUAGGAGCUCCUGCAGCAUGGUGGGGGUUGGAAAGUUUCGGGGGUUGGGGAUGGACUCGCGGCUUAUCAGCUUGUUGGUGGGGUAGUGGCUUACCAAGGAUUGGACGGGUAGCCGGCCUGAAAGGGAGACCGGCCACAGAGGCAUAGGGAAGCGACCAGUACGCAAUAGGGGGCCAUGGGCGGAAAAUUGACGCAGCGGGGCGGAGUGAGUGAGGAAGGUCGCCGGAUGGGGGAAGACUGCUUUGGGGUAAGAACCCCUUUGCGCGUGUAACGAGGCGUGUUGACCGGAAAUGGGAAAAAAGCCACGGGCAAACUCGUG
RNAcentral lists this ribosomal RNA (467 nucleotides) under uncultured bacterium. Its description in RNAcentral is "partial 16S ribosomal RNA". It matches the Rfam family "Bacterial small subunit ribosomal RNA", at positions 28 to 507 of the family's 1533-position model. The record is from RNAcentral.